Molecule: ribosomal RNA, 253 nt
Filed under: uncultured bacterium
Lineage: Bacteria
Description: partial 16S ribosomal RNA
Rfam family: Bacterial small subunit ribosomal RNA
Source: RNAcentral
UACGAAGGGGGCUAGCGUUGCUCGGAAUCACUGGGCGUAAAGGGUGCGUAGGCGGAUUUCUGAGUCAGGGGUGAAAGCCUGAGGCUCAACCUCAGAAUUGCCUUUGAUACUGGAAGUCUUGAGACCGGAAGAGGUAAGUGGAACUGCGAGUGUAGAGGUGAAAUUCGUAGAUAUUCGCAAGAACACCAGUGGCGAAGGCGGCUUACUGGUCCGGUUCUGACGCUGAGGCACGAAAGCGUGGGGAGCAAACAGG